RNAcentral lists this RNase P RNA (379 nucleotides) under Bacillus gobiensis. RNAcentral describes it as "Bacterial RNase P class B". It matches the Rfam family "Bacterial RNase P class B". Rfam says of the family: Ribonuclease P (RNase P) is a ubiquitous endoribonuclease, found in archaea, bacteria and eukarya as well as chloroplasts and mitochondria. Lineage: Bacteria; Bacillati; Bacillota; Bacilli; Caryophanales; Bacillaceae. RNAcentral also lists the same sequence under 1 other name. The record is from Rfam by way of RNAcentral.
ACGUUCGGGUAAUUGCUGCAGAUCCAAUCUGUAGAGGAAAGUCCAUGCUCGCACGGUGCUGAGAUGCCCGUAGUGUUCGUGCCUGGCCAAAAAAUAAGCCAGGGCAGCUUGACGGCUGACGGCAGGAAAAAGGCCUAAAUCUUUUUAGACAUGGCCGAGUAACCUUGAAAGUGCCACAGUGACGAAGUCUCGCUAGAAAUGGCGAGAGUGGAACGGGUAAACCCCACGAGCGAGAAACCCAAAUUUUGGUAGGGGAACCUUCCUGAAGAAAGUGAACGGAUGGAAGGACAGAAUUUCGAUUCUGUAGAUAGAUGAUUACCGCCUUUGUACGAGGCAGCGGCCGUUUGCAGUACUGAGGAACAAAACAUGGCUUACAGAA